RNAcentral lists this long non-coding RNA (770 nucleotides) under Homo sapiens (human). RNAcentral describes it as "HSALNT0307168". Lineage: Eukaryota; Metazoa; Chordata; Mammalia; Primates; Hominidae. The record is from RNAcentral.
AGCUGCAGUCCUCAUGGGCCGCCAGCCUCCCGCUUCCUGCAGAGGCGCCCAGAGCUGGAGCUGGUCUGCGCAUGCACUUGGAGGCACGGUAUGAACAACCGCAGAAAUGCCGGCCAACUACGCCAGUUCCCAGAGCCCAGCGUUCUCCUCUCUCCUCUUUCAUUGGUUUCCCAGGAAAGCUGCUGAGGGCGGGAACCCCAGAUGCACAGUUUGGCUCAUAAGCGGGCUGCCUUUCACAGCCACCACUACCCACCCGGGGAGAGCACUGGAUUGUGGCAAACGGGACCUCUUUGUGUGAGCAACCAAGUUUCAGAGAUGACAAGGAAAAUCUUCAUUACCAUUUCAAGAACUGGGAACAAAGAAAAAUCCCGUUCCAGGACGCAAAGGAGGAGAUGCGGGUAGCUGAACAGAAACUUUUGAAGAUUACCAUGGGAAUACACCUGUGAACUUCCAGGUUUGAUCUCAGUUACUCCCUUACUUGAAGAAGGCUUCGAUGAUUCCUCAUGGAGAAAUCCCAGAUACUUCUGCACAUGAUUCAGAGGUCCCUUACAACUGGCUUCAGCCUGCCUUCCAAGCCCUGUCUCUCGCCUCUCCCUUCCUUCACACUGUGCUUCAGCGAGAUGCUGUGUUUUUUGCAAAUGGACGGUUUGGGCAACUCUUUGUGGAGCAAGUCUAUCGGUGCCAUUUUCCCAACAACAUGGAUUCACUUCAUGUCUCUGAGUCACAUUUUGGCUGGAGUGUGGUGGCGUGAUCUUGGUUCACUGCAACCU